GAUGAACGCUGGCGGCGUGCCUAAUACAUGCAAGUCGAGCGAUGCGGGGACGGGUGAGUAACACGUGGAUAACCUCCUAUAAGACUGGGAUAACUUGGGGAAACCGGAGCUAAACCGGAUAAUUAUAGAUGGAUAUGCGGUGCAUUAGCGAGUUGUUAAGGUAACGGCUUACCAAGGCAACGAUGCAUAGCCGACCUGAGAGGGUGAGCGGCCACACUGGAACUGAGACACGGCCCAGACUCCUACGGGAGGUAGCAGUAGGGAAUCUUCCGCAAUGGACGAAAGCCUGACGGAGCAACGCCGCGUGAGUGAAGAAGGUCUUCGGAUCGUAAAACUCUGUUAUUAGAGAAGCGGUACCUAAUCAGAAAGCCACGGCUAACUACGUGCCAGCAGCCGCGGUAAUAC
This 405-nucleotide ribosomal RNA is filed under the name uncultured bacterium. Its description in RNAcentral is "partial 16S ribosomal RNA". It matches the Rfam family "Bacterial small subunit ribosomal RNA", at positions 28 to 526 of the family's 1533-position model. The record is from RNAcentral.